RNAcentral lists this ribosomal RNA (349 nucleotides) under uncultured bacterium. RNAcentral describes it as "bacterial SSU rRNA". It matches the Rfam family "Bacterial small subunit ribosomal RNA", at positions 917 to 1269 of the family's 1533-position model. The record is from RNAcentral.
GGGCCCGCACAAGCGGUGGAGCAUGUGGUUUAAUUCGAUGAUACGCGAGGAACCUUACCAGGGCUUAAAUGUUAGGUGACAGAUCUAGAAAUAGAUUUUUCUUCGGACACUUAACAAGGUGCUGCAUGGUUGUCGUCAGCUCGUGCCGUGAGGUGUCAGGUUAAGUCCUAUAACGAGCGCAACCCCUGUUGUUAGUUGCCAGCGAGUAAUGUCGGGAACUCUAGCAAGACUGCCAGUGCAAACUGUGAGGAAGGUGGGGAUGACGUCAAAUCAUCACGGCCCUUACGUCCUGGCUACACACGUGCUACAAUGGUAGGUACAGAGAGCAGCCAAUGCGCGAGCAUGAGCA